AUCCUUUUGGAAGGAACCAAGGACAAGGCAGCUUUCGGGUGGUAAUUGAAGUAAAACACAGCACUACCGGCAAAAAAUGGCCCAUCAAAAAAGUUAACAGGAAAACGGUGCAUGGUGUGUUUGGAUAGGUCAGAUCUCAUUAAUUGCUGCACUAGAGUCGGUAGACUGAAAAACAAAAGAACCAUCUCUGUUCCAUGAGAUAUGUGGGGUUAUGGAAUGGUGCCGUGUUCAGAGCCUUGUUUCUUCUGUGUACUCAUUGGAAGGGCAAAAACUUCUGCUGGUUUUGGAUAUGAAAAUGAACUGCAGAUAU
This is a long non-coding RNA of Harpia harpyja (harpy eagle), 310 nucleotides long. RefSeq lists it as uncharacterized. The record is from RefSeq and is a predicted model, not a curated record. Lineage: Eukaryota; Metazoa; Chordata; Aves; Accipitriformes; Accipitridae. The transcript has 3 exons.